ACUGUUUUAGCAAAAUUAGUGCAUUAAAUUUAGAAUUUAAAUAAAUGAUUAUAUAAUCAUAUACAGUA
This 68-nucleotide transfer RNA is filed under the name Tettigades opaca. RNAcentral describes it as "tRNA-Leu". Lineage: Eukaryota; Metazoa; Arthropoda; Insecta; Hemiptera; Cicadidae. The record is from RNAcentral.